Phyllostomus hastatus (greater spear-nosed bat) is the source of this 437-nucleotide long non-coding RNA. RefSeq lists it as uncharacterized. NCBI's taxonomy places the organism in Eukaryota, Metazoa, Chordata, Mammalia, Chiroptera, Phyllostomidae. The record is from RefSeq and is a predicted model, not a curated record. The transcript has 3 exons.
AAAGGCAAUGUCCAGUUAUUCUCAAACCAUGUGUGACAGCCAGCCUGGUAGAGAAGAAAGAAAUGGCACGUAAAUAUGUGAAUCUUUCUGCCAACCUGUAACCUAAAUCACGGUCUGCUGUGUACUCUUGGUUGAACUUGGCGUGGAUGCAUUUCUUGAUAAUGUUGAAGCCAAUGAUGUCCAACUGUGCCGCUGGAAGAGGAAGAGAAGAGAGUCAAGUUGCUGGCAGUGCAAACCAACCUUGGAACAAGGCAUGACCAAUCCAAGAUGACUCAGUCCCAUGAGAAAGGGCCCAGCUCACACAAACCUGUUUUCCAAAGUUCUAUGGAGAACAUGACAACAAUGGAGAGGUGGACUCCCACUCGGUCAACUUGGAGAGUCUCCGGGCAGCAUAGGAGGACAAUGCCUGUAAGACCACGGGGGUUUGUGCUACCGUA